GACGAGGGAUCCUAGCGUUGUUCGGAAUCAUUGGGCGUAAAGCGGGUGUAGGUGGUCUGAUAAGUCAGAGGUGAAAGCCCAGGGCUUAACCCUGGAAGUGCAUAUGAUACUGUCAGGCUUGAGUGUGGGAGAGGAUAGCAGAAUUCCUGGUGUAGUGGUGAAAUACGUAGAUAUCAGGAGGAAUACCGGAGGCGAAGGCGGCUAUCUGGCCCAACACUGACACUGAGACCCGAAAGCGUGGGGAUCAAACAGG
This 253-nucleotide ribosomal RNA is filed under the name uncultured bacterium. RNAcentral's name for it is "partial 16S ribosomal RNA". It matches the Rfam family "Bacterial small subunit ribosomal RNA", at positions 524 to 776 of the family's 1533-position model. The record is from RNAcentral.